Neocallimastix californiae is the source of this 72-nucleotide transfer RNA. It matches the Rfam family "tRNA". Rfam says of the family: Transfer RNA (tRNA) molecules are approximately 80 nucleotides in length. Their secondary structure includes four short double-helical elements and three loops (D, anti-codon, and T loops). Lineage: Eukaryota; Fungi; Neocallimastigomycota; Neocallimastigomycetes; Neocallimastigales; Neocallimastigaceae. The record is from Rfam.
GGGGUGUUAGCUCAGCGGUAGAGCAAUUGACUGCAGAUCAAUAGGUCUUCGGUUCAAAUCCAGAACGCCCCU